This is a long non-coding RNA of Brassica napus (rape), 1693 nucleotides long. RefSeq lists it as uncharacterized. The transcript has 4 exons. The record is from RefSeq and is a predicted model, not a curated record. Lineage: Eukaryota; Viridiplantae; Streptophyta; Magnoliopsida; Brassicales; Brassicaceae.
UUUUACUCUUUUCUUAUGGUCUCAUUUCACCUCCCUAUUAUAUUCUCCUAUAAAAAUCGUUUCUUCCAAACUUUAAUUCAACCAAAAUUGAAAGCUAUGGCCAUGAGAAAUAAAUAAUUCAGAGUCUCUUGCUCUUCCUCUACUCUUUGUACCCGGUAAUCAAACCCCACAGUAUUCAUAGCUAUAGGAACGGCGAAAUCCACCGCCACAGCCCCGGCUUAAUUUUAUAAGGAUGUGAUCGUUUACCACCAAGUUUGCUUGCUUACAUGGUUGCAGCUUCAUAACUCGUGCCAUGUUUGUCAUACGAGUUCAUGACUCAUGGAGGUCAGACCAGUGGGGAAGACAGACAACAAACGGUUGAGAUUUCGCCGACUCCGAGGAGGUUUAGUUUAUCAUAUCCAUGGCCACUCAAGAGACAUGAUACGAAUUAGGAUUCUGGGAGUGGAUCUGAUAUCGAUACUACGUAGGAUGAAUUGGAUUGAGAAAUUCAUGGCAUACAAUGAAAUUCUCAAAACAUUUGAAGAUCAAGAGGAGUUAAAAGAGGUUUGACCUUCAAAUGCUAGCAAGAAGGCGGAUCAAUGGGUAGCUUUUCGAAUAUACUCUGUAGACAUUCCUUUUACCUGUUCUCCUCUCCAAUAUUUGUGUUGCCACUUGCCAGUGGCCCAGUGUUAACAAUGGUGGCUUCCCUAAACCCACGUCUGUUAUUCUCCUCAACUAACAAAAUGUGUUUCAUGUAGCAUUUAAAGCACUGAAUUUUUCUCAGGGUUAUGGAAAUGGGGAAGAAGCUUGCAGAGAGGAUAAGGAGCAAAGGGCCUUACAUUGUCCUGAGUGUAUCUAAUUGUGGCUUUGAAAAUUCAUUUUCUACACCGAAGAAAAGAAGAAGCCAGUGACUGUUUUUUAACGUUUUGUUGUCUUCUAAGCUCUGUGAAUGUUUAUAAAACUGGUGUUUUGAUGAUUAUGUGCCUCACAUUUUUUUUGUUUUUAUGGAUAGGUUGAAUCACAGCUCACUGAAUAAAAAAAAUACCCAACUCCGUAUUUUCGAAUGGUCUUACAUAACUGUCUCCAGUGGGAUCAGUGGCCUUAUGCUACUGUCGAUAUACUACAGAUUCCACCAACGCCAUAUCUACAAAGCCAAAAAGGAGGAAGAUGAACAUGACAACUUGAAGCCAGCCUCUAUCGCUGGGGGUGGAAACUGCAGCAAAUCAUAGUAGACACUACAAGGUUGAAGCAAAAGAAGUUUUCUUUUCUGUUACAAAGCUUUCCCAAUCUAAAGACACUGGUUUGGGAGAGAACGGUUUACUUGAUCAUAAAGGAACUUUCUCCAUCAGCUGAUAAGGUUCAUAGUUUGUAAUUUGCUUAGGUGGCUGAAUCCUAAUACCAAUACUGAAGGUAUAGUUUCUUAAUUUGCUUCACCAGUGCCAACAAUCACAAAAUUAUAAUUUGUUCUUCUUCCUUCAGAUUCUAAUGAUUGGUUGUUAUUUGAGUCAUUGUGAUUUUCAGUAGGGAUGUUUAAAUGAAGAUAGAAUCUAACAAGUCAGUGUCGGAGGUUAAUAAUGAAAUUGAGAGUGAGGAUGGUAGUGAAUAGGUUUGUAGUUGAUCAUUUUAAAUUACGUUUCAUUGUGUAUAAUCAAAUUCAUGAUGAGAACGGUGACCAAGGUUGAAAUUUGUAGCAUAAGUACAGAUGGUUGAUCUC